CUUUUUGCUAUUUCUUGGGCCGCUCCCGCGGCAUACGGAGGUUCCCAGGCUAGGGGUCCAAUCGGAGCUGUAGCUACCGGCUUACGCCAGAGCCACAGCAACGCGGGAUCCGAGCUGCGUCUGUAACCUACACCACGGCUCACCGCAACGCUGGAUCGUCAACCCACUGAGCAAGGGCAGGGACCGAACCCGCAACCUCAUGGUUCCUAGUCGGAUUCGUUAACCACUGCGCCACGACGGGAACUCCAGGCCAUAAUUUAACUACAGAUAAAGGCAGAAAUGGAGACAGUGAAGAAGGAAAGGAUUAGGGAGUCACAGAUACCAACGUAACUCAAUUUAACAAAUACUGAGCACCUAUUAUUACCUGCCAAAGAACACCUAGAACAAGUCACUUUGCUUCAGCUUCCUCAUCAAAAUGGCAGUAUUAUUUAUCUCAGACAGUUGUAAAGAUCGAAUGAGGUGACAUGUGAAAGUGUCUAUAACAAGUAAAUACCCAAAAAAUGGCUAUUAAUUCCAGUUAUUUUUUAUUAAUUAAAAUAACCAAUAUGCUUCCUUUUUUGGGUGACAGAAUAAAAAUGUCUUGUUUGCAAAAAUUUAAUUUAAGUCAGCAAAACAGUUUCCCACUUGCUUGUUUAUACAGGUGAUACAUUUCAUGACAGUGGGUGCUGUAAUUUUGAAAUAAAUUACUCAUCAAGUUCAAAAAUAUUAAUUAAGGUUAGACUGUAAUUAGGUCUUCUAAUUCUCUUGUCUAUUUUUAACUUUCUCUAUAGUUCCACUUUCUAGGAAGUUUGUUUCCCUUAGACAACAAAGAAGUCCAGGAAGCAGCAGCUAAAGCUUUAACGAAGAAGUCCGACACUAUCGUAAAAUCCAGUUCAAACAAAACAAACAUUCACAUACACUCAUAAUAAUCAAUUAUGGUUUAGUCUACUCUAUAUACCAUAUGACUAUUUUUUGUAUAAGAUCUCAUUUCUAUAGAAUGAGUUAGGGAUUAGUACUUCCAUAAAAGCAGGUCUCUUAUUUUAAAAAAGUAUAUUUUGAAUAUGAAAAUUUUAAAUUCAAUCCAAAAUUUAUUUCAAAUUAUUCUAUUCCAUGAAAAGAACUACAAGUAAAAUAUGAAAAAAAUUUUUCUUCCCCUCUUUAGUAAUGAAUUCAUGCACAUAAAUAAUAAAAAUAUGUAAAGCAUCAUUCACAUUUAUCAAUUCCAUUCACUCACACUGCAUUUGCAUCAAAAUAUGAAUUCACAUAAAAAAGAAAUACCCACGUAUUAUGAAAAGGGCACAAAUUUUCUAGACUGUAAAAUUAAAAUAAGACUGAUAAAUAAACACACAUAGUAUCUUCAUUCCUCUAGAGUAUAUGCUGUACAUCAAAGAACUGAGAUGGCAAGGCUUUAUGCAAUGUAAAAGGCCUCUGAAGAGCUUUUGAACCUUUCUUGGGUUACACACUUGAUAGUACUCAUAAAUGUUACAGACAUCUUCUCAGAAAAAAAAAAGAAAAUGUGUAUGCACAAAUCCAUAAAAUGCAGCAAAUAAUUUCAGGAGCUUCAUGGACCUUCUGAAGACAGAACCCUUACAGGUUAAGGAUCCUUGCAGAGACCCUAGCUAUUCAGUGACUAUUUUCACAGUGACAUUGACCCAAAGGUUCAGGGCCUAUGGUAAUUUGUCAUUUUGCAGAGGCACACAUAUGAAUGAUACUAAAAUAAAGCUGAAAAAUAGAUGUGAAAGAGCAAAUCUUCCAGCUAGUGAGAGAGCCUGGUAUUCACCUCUCAGUUUGACUCUGCCAUCUUUACAACUCAUUAUUUAGUAGAAUAAAUACCAAGAAGUGCUUAGUGGUGAUCAUUAAUAAAUACAGAUGGUCUUUGAA
RNAcentral lists this long non-coding RNA (1860 nucleotides) under Sus scrofa (pig). RNAcentral describes it as "lncRNA (ENSSSCG00065024420.1)". The record is from RNAcentral. Lineage: Eukaryota; Metazoa; Chordata; Mammalia; Artiodactyla; Suidae.